GACGAACGCUGGCGGCGUGCUUAACACAUGCAAGUCGAACGGUAAGGCCCUUCGGGGUACACGAGUGGCGAACGGGUGAGUAACACGUGGGUGAUCUGCCCUGCACUUCGGGAUAAGCUUGGGAAACUGGGUCUAAUACCGGAUAGGACCACGGUCUGCAUGGAUUGUGGUGGAAAGCUUUUGCGGUGUGGGAUGGGCCCGCGGCCUAUCAGCUUGUUGGUGGGGUGAUGGCCUACCAAGGCGACGACGGGUAGCCGGCCUGAGAGGGUGUCCGGCCACACUGGGACUGAGAUACGGCCCAGACUCCUACGGGAGGCAGCAGUGGGGAAUUUUGGACAAUGGGGGCAACCCUGAUCCAGCAACGCCGCGUGAAUGAAGAAGGCCUUAGGGUUGUAAAGUUCUUUUGUCUGGGGACAAGAGCCACUGGGUAAUAUACAGUGGAGAUGAGGGUACCAGAAGAAUAAGCACCGGCUAACUACGUG
This 482-nucleotide ribosomal RNA is filed under the name uncultured bacterium. RNAcentral's name for it is "bacterial SSU rRNA". It matches the Rfam family "Bacterial small subunit ribosomal RNA", at positions 28 to 507 of the family's 1533-position model. The record is from RNAcentral.